RNAcentral lists this unclassified non-coding RNA (405 nucleotides) under Bombus terrestris (buff-tailed bumblebee). Its description in RNAcentral is "misc RNA ENSBTSG00005028542.1". Lineage: Eukaryota; Metazoa; Arthropoda; Insecta; Hymenoptera; Apidae. The record is from RNAcentral.
AAUCCAAAUACUGUACGAGCGAAGCCGCGGGCGGCCAAGUUUAUAAAUGAAGCAAUUCGAUAUUUGGUUUCGGAACUGUACGAAUGCGUCAACGAAUCGAAGAUUUUUUAAAAGAAAAAUGCCAAGAUAUAGUAAAGUUGCCCGAAGUCUUCGUUCGUCAGCAUCGACGAUACUAUAACAAAUGUCAGUUCCUCGAAAACGCAGUUGCAAAGCAAUCAAUCUUCUUAACCCAUGCAUUACUAGUUACUCUUGUAAGAAAGGCUUAAUUUAUUACACUCCCUAGUAGUCAUCAUUUUCUCUUGUUAAGUACCAUAGUGACAUAACUAAUUACACACAAAGUUUGUAGCUCUGCGUCUUCUAAUAGCAACACACGGUCACAGACCGUAAAACAAGCGAUUAAUCGCC